UAGGCAGAAGCCUGUUGGUUAGGGCACCUAGCUGUUAACUAGGUUAUCAUGGGAUCGAGGCCCAUCUGUCUAG
Molecule: transfer RNA, 73 nt
Filed under: Athene noctua
Lineage: Eukaryota; Metazoa; Chordata; Aves; Strigiformes; Strigidae
Description: tRNA-Asn
Rfam family: tRNA
About the family: Transfer RNA (tRNA) molecules are approximately 80 nucleotides in length.
Source: RNAcentral